CAGUAGCCGCGGUAAUACGUAGGUCCCGAGCGUUGUCCGGAUUUAUUGGGCGUAAAGCGAGCGCAGGCGGUUAGAUAAGUCUGAAGUUAAAGGCUGUGGCUUAACCAUAGUACGCUUUGGAAACUGUUUAACUUGAGUGCAGAAGGGGAGAGUGGAAUUCCAUGUGUAGCGGUGAAAUGCGUAGAUAUAUGGAGGAACACCGGUGGCGAAAGCGGCUCUCUGGUCUGUAACUGACGCUGAGGCUCGAAAGCGUGGGGAGCGAACAGGAUUAGAUACCCCAGUAGUCCCUGUCUCUUAUACA
RNAcentral lists this ribosomal RNA (301 nucleotides) under uncultured bacterium. RNAcentral's name for it is "partial 16S ribosomal RNA". It matches the Rfam family "Bacterial small subunit ribosomal RNA", at positions 509 to 808 of the family's 1533-position model. The record is from RNAcentral.